Molecule: long non-coding RNA, 745 nt
Filed under: Marmota monax (woodchuck)
Lineage: Eukaryota; Metazoa; Chordata; Mammalia; Rodentia; Sciuridae
Source: RNAcentral
GUUACCAGAAGUGUAGAUGCAACUAUGUUGGCUGUCUUUCUAACCAUUCCCAGGGCAUAAUUCACUUGAUUAAUAACAUAUUAAUAUUUGAAAUUAUUUACCUAUAAUACUGAGUAGGGAGUACUGCAUAUUUAAGAACACAUGGAUUUUUAGAGUCAAUUAUUUUUUUCAAUGUUAAAGAUCCUCCAAAUAACUAUUCCUUUAAUCUCAUGAUUAUAUCUACCCACGUUACACAUACAAUGGAACCACUGACUUGACUAUCUACAUCACUAUUCCCUCUGCAAGUGUCCUCUGACUGACUUGGUUUUUAAUUGGGGGUGGGGAACAAUGAUGCUGCCAUUCUCUUAAUGCUUUGGAUAUGAACUCUUGACUAGUGAUUCUUCAUUGUCCUCUGAGCCAUGAAGAUAACACAAGUGACUAACUCAGCAUGAGUCGAGGCCUAGCUUUGCUGGUGUGUAAUCUUCAUGUAGAAAGCAUUAGAAGUGAUUUAUAAAAGUAAUAAAAUAAUUCUCUUUGUACACACUUAAUAACAAAUACCUUUGUAUAUCACAUUUUCUUUAACCAUCCAUCCACUGACAUAUUUAAGCUAUUCUCACAUAUUGCCAAUAAUGCUGUAGUAUAUAUAGGAUGGUGUGUAUCUAUAAUAGUUCUUUUUUCACAUUUUAAGGCGCCUGCAUACUAUUUUCCCAUAAUGGCUGUAUCAACGUACAUUCCCUUCAAUGAUGUGUAAGAGUUCUCUUUUCUC